Molecule: ribosomal RNA, 986 nt
Filed under: Phalacrognathus muelleri
Lineage: Eukaryota; Metazoa; Arthropoda; Insecta; Coleoptera; Lucanidae
Description: partial 16S ribosomal RNA
Rfam family: Archaeal large subunit ribosomal RNA (bases 410-986)
Source: RNAcentral
UAAAAUAAGGUAUAUAUUGUGCUGUUCUCGAAUUGAAAAGAUUUAAGAGUUUAUAAAUUUUACUGUUGAAUAAGUAUUUAAAAUAAACUUUUGGGAGUGAAACGUUAUUCGAUUUUUAAUAUAUCUAGUUUCUUAAGAAAAAAAUUGAAUUUUGUUGACUUUAAAGUGUGAAUUAAUUUUUUAAUAAUCAUUGUGGGUCAGGAAACACCUAAUGGGAUAAGCUUUUAGGUGGAUUUUUAAAAUUUUAUGUUAUGUUAUUAAUUGUAGGAUUAGAAGUUUUUAUCAAUAAUAUAGUGUUAAAACAGUUUUUAACGUGAUUUGAUUUUUAUUUGUUUUAAAUAUUAUAUUAAGAUUAAGGACUAAAUUUUAGGUUUUUGUAAUAAUGAUGGAAUUAGUAUAUAUUUAUGUUAAUAGUUUUAUUAUUUAAAGAUUUUGUAAAGGAAUUCGGCAAAUAUUUUUCCGCCUGUUUACUAAAAACAUGGCCUUUUGAUAAUGAUUUAAGGUCUAACCUGCCCACUGAAAUUUUAAAGGCCGCGGUAUUUUGACCGUGCAAAGGUAGCAUAAUAAUUAGUUUUUUAAUUGGAAGCUGGAAUGAACGGUUGGACGAGAUUAAUACUGUCUCUGCAGGAUUUAUAUAAUUUUAUUUUUGAGUUAAAAAGCUUAAAUGGUUUUAAAAGACGAGAAGACCCUAUAGAGUUUUAUAUUUUGUUGAAUUAUUUAUUGAUUGGUAAUGUAAUAUGAUUUUUUAGGAAAAUAUUAUGUUGGGGCGAUAGGAAAAUUGAAUUAACUUUUUUUAGUUGAAUACAUUGAUAUAUGAUUGAAUGAUCCGUUUUUUACGAUUAUAAGAUUAAAUUACCUUAGGGAUAACAGCGUUAUUUUUCUUGAGAGUUCUUAUCGAAAGAAGAGAUUGCGACCUCGAUGUUGGAUUAAGAUAAAUUUUUGGUGUAGAAGCUGAAAAAUUGGGUCUGUUCGACCUUUGAAAUCUU